Nannospalax galili (Upper Galilee mountains blind mole rat) is the source of this 104-nucleotide small nuclear RNA. The record is from Ensembl. NCBI's taxonomy places the organism in Eukaryota, Metazoa, Chordata, Mammalia, Rodentia, Spalacidae.
GUGCUUGCUUCAGCAGCACAUAUACUAUAACUGGAACAGUAAAAAUAUUAGCAUGACCUCUGUGCAAAGAUGGUAGGCAAAUUCGUGAAGCGUUUCAUGUAUUU